GUUUUUAAAUAAAAACAGUCCGGUCUCGAAAACCGGAGUAGGGGCAACUCUACCGGGGGUUCAAAUCCCCCUCUCUCCGCCA
This 82-nucleotide transfer RNA is filed under the name Klebsiella variicola. Its description in RNAcentral is "tRNA-Ser (CGA) (tRNA-Ser-CGA-2-1)". It matches the Rfam family "tRNA", at positions 10 to 71 of the family's 71-position model. Rfam says of the family: Transfer RNA (tRNA) molecules are approximately 80 nucleotides in length. Their secondary structure includes four short double-helical elements and three loops (D, anti-codon, and T loops). The record is from RNAcentral. Lineage: Bacteria; Pseudomonadati; Pseudomonadota; Gammaproteobacteria; Enterobacterales; Enterobacteriaceae.